UCCCGACGGGGCGCAGCAGUGAGGAAUAUUGGUCAAUGGGCGAGAGCCUGAACCAGCCAAGUCGCGUGAAGGAUGACGGCCCUACGGAUUGUAAACUUCUUUUGUCAGGGAGCAAUUGAGUCCACGUGUGGGCUUAGCGAGAGUACCUGAAGAAAAAGCAUCGGCUAACUCCGUGCCAGCAGCCGCGGUAAUACGGAGGAUGCGAGCGUUAUCCGGAUUUAUUGGGUUUAAAGGGUGCGUAGGCGGAAUAUCAAGUCAGCGGUAAAAAUUCGGGGCUCAACCCCGGCGUGCCGUU
RNAcentral lists this ribosomal RNA (295 nucleotides) under uncultured bacterium. Its description in RNAcentral is "partial 16S ribosomal RNA". It matches the Rfam family "Bacterial small subunit ribosomal RNA", at positions 335 to 628 of the family's 1533-position model. The record is from RNAcentral.